RNAcentral lists this ribosomal RNA (443 nucleotides) under uncultured bacterium. Its description in RNAcentral is "partial 16S ribosomal RNA". It matches the Rfam family "Bacterial small subunit ribosomal RNA", at positions 338 to 795 of the family's 1533-position model. The record is from RNAcentral.
CCUACGGGGGGCAGCAGUGGGGAAUAUUGGGCAAUGGGCGCAAGCCUGACCCAGCAACGCCGCGUGAAGGAAGAAGGCUCUCGGGUUGUAAACUUCUUUUGUCAGGGACGAAGCUAGUGACGGUACCUGACGAAUAAGCCACGGCUAACUACGUGCCAGCAGCCGCGGCAAUACGUAGGUGGCAAGCGUUAUCCGGAUUUACUGGGUGUAAAGGGUGCGUAGGUUGUUUUUUAAGUUCGCGGUGAAAUACCGAUGCUCAACAUCGGGGCUGCCGCUAAUACUGUAGGACUAGAGAUCGGAUGCGGCAGGCGGAAUGUGUGGUGUAGCGGUGAAAUGCAUAGAUAUUACACAGAACACCGAUUGCGAAGGCAGCUUGCUAGGCCGGAUCUGACACUGAUGCACGAAAGCGUGGGUAUCAAACAGGAUUAGAUACCCGUGUAGUC